UAGCUAGUUGGUGGGGUAAGGGCCUACCAAGGCGACGAUCGGUAGCUGGUCUGAGAGGAUGGCCAGCCACACUGGAACUGAGACACGGUCCAGACUCCUACGGGAGGCAGCAGUGGGGAAUAUUGGACGAUGGGGGUAACCCUGAUCCAGCAAUGCCGCGUGUGUGAAGAAGGCCUGAGGGUUGUAAAGCACUUUCAGUGGGGAGGAGAGUUGAUUGGUUAAGAGCUGGUUAAUUGGACGUUACCCACAGAAGAAGCACCGGCUAACUCCGUGCCAGCAGCCGCGGUAAUACGGAGGGUGCGAGCGUUAAUCGGAAUUACUGGGCGUAAAGGGUGCGUAGGUGGUUUAUUAAGUUAUGUGUAAAAUCCCUGGGCUCAACCUGGGCAGGUCAUAUAAUACUGGUAGACUCGAGUAUGGGAGAGGGUAGUGGAAUUUCCGGUGUAGCGGUGAAAUGCGUAGAGAUCGGAAGGAACACCAGUGGCGAAGGCGGCUACCUGGCCUAAUACUGACACUGAGGCACGAAAGCGUGGGGAGCAAACAGGAUUAGAUACCCUGGUAGUCCACGCUGUAAACGAUGUCAACUAGCUGUUGGUUAUAUGAAUAUAAUUAGUGGCGC
This 616-nucleotide ribosomal RNA is filed under the name uncultured Legionella sp. Its description in RNAcentral is "bacterial SSU rRNA". It matches the Rfam family "Bacterial small subunit ribosomal RNA", at positions 242 to 849 of the family's 1533-position model. Lineage: Bacteria; Pseudomonadati; Pseudomonadota; Gammaproteobacteria; Legionellales; Legionellaceae. The record is from RNAcentral.